CUACGGGUGGCAGCAGGCGCGAAACCUUUACAAUGCACGCAAGUGUGAUAAGGGGAUCCUAAGUGCUCAUACAUUGUAUGGGCUUUUGCCAAGUGUAAAUAACUUGGAGAAUAAGUGGUGGGUAAGACUGGUGCCAGCCGCCGCGGUAACACCAGCGCCACGAGUGGCAACCACGUUUAUUGGGCCUAAAGCGUCCGUAGCCGGCUAGGUAAAUCUUUUGUGAAAUCGUCAAGCUCAACUUGACGGCGCGCUUGAGACACUGCCUUGCUUGAGACCGGGAGGAGUCAGAGGUAUUCCAGGGGGAGCGGUAAAAUGUGAUAAUCCCUGGAGGAUCACCUAUGGCGAAGGCAUCUGACCAGAACGGAUCUGACGGUGAGGGACGAAGGCUGGGGGAGCGAUCCGGAUUAGAUACCCGGGUAGUC
RNAcentral lists this ribosomal RNA (422 nucleotides) under uncultured archaeon. RNAcentral's name for it is "partial 16S ribosomal RNA". It matches the Rfam family "Archaeal small subunit ribosomal RNA", at positions 323 to 746 of the family's 1478-position model. The record is from RNAcentral.